Molecule: long non-coding RNA, 1247 nt
Organism: Homo sapiens (human)
Lineage: Eukaryota; Metazoa; Chordata; Mammalia; Primates; Hominidae
Gene: KAZN-AS1
Product: KAZN antisense RNA 1
Exons: 5
Source: RefSeq, marked validated
GGCAAUCCCCUAAUGUUCCCUUCCACCUUGUGGAAGUUUUGUUCUUUCGCUCUUUGCAAUAAAUCCCAUUGUUGCUCGCUCUUUGGGGUCUCACUGUCUGUGCGAGCUGUAAUACUCGCCGCAAAGGUGUCUGGCUUCACUUCCGAGACCAGCGAGACCCCGAACCCACCGGGAGGAAUGAACAACUCCGGAUGGGAGGGACAAACAACACCAGACGCACCGCCUUAAGAGUCCUAACGCUCACCGCGGAGGUCUGCGGCUUCACUCUUGAAUGAAGCCAGCGAGAUCACAAACCCACCAGAAGGAAGGAACUCUGAACACAUCCGAAAAUCAGAAGGAACAAACUCCGGACACACUACCUUUAAGAACUGUAACACUCAAAUCGCGAGGGUCCACGGCUUCGUUCUUGAAGUCAGUGAGACCAAGAACCCACAAAUUCCGGACACUUCCCCACACAGAGGGAACUGGCCUAACACUCUGGUGGUGCCAAUAGGAUGUACUGACAGAUCAGAAGUGGUCGUGAGAGAAGGAGCAAGUAGCCAGAAGAGUGAAGUGUGCACUGGCUGAGAUGUGGGAGCAGGUGUUGUUGGUUUCCCCGGAGAUGCAGCAAGAAGGCCCUCGCCAGAUAUCAAGGCCUUAAGCUUGGACUUCCCAGCCUCCAGAACUGUCUUAUGUAUCAACAAAAUCACACCAGACCACCCAAAGCUGGCCCUGCCAACUGACCACACACACCCCUGCCUGAAAGGCAUGUUUCAAUGUGCAACAGACGCCUGCCACUCAGGGGACAUCAAAUGUUCAUGAGAACUCGCUAACCUCGAAACAGGUUCUACAAAUUCAAAAAAACCACCCGUGGCCUGGCUCUGGGCUGAAGCUGAGUCCUGGCUUGAAAUCCCCUGCCUUAAUCUCUCUUCGAAGACUUUUCUGCAUUCAUCUGAGUCCUCAUCCUCCAAGGCAGGGCUCAGGCUUGGGCUCAGGCUCCCAGCCAUGUAUCCCUCCUGGACCAUUCCUGACUCCUUUCCAGUAUCCUUAUCACUUGUACCACAUACGUUGGCCUUUGAUCCUGUGUACUGUUGGAUUUGUCUUUACUUCACAGGUUCAUCUUGUCUCCCCAAGAACAAUGAGAGUUGCCUCAAGGGGUAGAACCAUGCUUUUUGUUUUCUUUUGAAUUCAUUACAGCACAGCCAAAAGCUCAACACACAAAACACACUCAGUAAAUAUCUGUUGAACAGAAUAAAAGCCAUUCCGCA